CCUACGGGAGGCAGCAGUAGGGAAUAUUGCUCAAUGGGGGAAACCCUGAAGCAGCAACGCCGCGUGGAGGAUGAAGGUUUUCGGAUUGUAAACUCCUUUUGUUAGAGAAGAUAAUGACGGUAUCUAACGAAUAAGUACCGGCUAACUCCGUGCCAGCAGCCGCGGUAAUACGGGGGGUGCGAGCGUUUCUCGGAUUCACUCGGCGUAAAGAGCGCGUAGGCGGGAUAGCAAGUCAGAUGUGAAAUCCUAUGGCUUAACCGUAGAACUGCAUUUGAAACUGUUAGUCUAGAGUAUGGGAGAGGAAGGCGGAAUUCAUGGUGUAGGGGUAAAAUCCGUAGAGAUCAAGAGGAAGACGCAUUGCGAAGGCGACCGGCUAGAACAUAACUGACGCUGAGGCGCGAAAGCGUGGGGAGCAAACAGGAUUAGAUACCCGAGUAGUC
RNAcentral lists this ribosomal RNA (440 nucleotides) under uncultured bacterium. RNAcentral describes it as "partial 16S ribosomal RNA". It matches the Rfam family "Bacterial small subunit ribosomal RNA", at positions 338 to 795 of the family's 1533-position model. The record is from RNAcentral.